RNA transcript from Andrographis paniculata, 2682 nucleotides. It is a transcript of the gene named putative RNA polymerase II subunit B1 CTD phosphatase RPAP2 homolog, with no coding region annotated. NCBI's taxonomy places the organism in Eukaryota, Viridiplantae, Streptophyta, Magnoliopsida, Lamiales, Acanthaceae. The transcript has 9 exons. The record is from RefSeq and is a predicted model, not a curated record.
UCACUCAGUGGUUAGCCAUUUCUGAUGUUCUUAGAAGUGAUGCUAUGCCCUCUUUUCUUUCAAUAUCUACGUGGAUUUAGUAAGAUUUCUUGGGAUGUUCAUAAUAAACAAGGGCAUUAAAUGGUGAAUGAUUUUCUAAGGAUAUCAAUUCAGCUAGAUAUUUUCAAGAUGGCUUCAGUGGGUGUGGCACCUACUUCUGGCCCAAGGGAGUCGAGUAAUAAUUCUGUAGGGUUUGAUAGUUUGCUUGAGGAAAUGAGCGACAUGAAAAUUCACGAUGAUAAGGUAACGAAGAUGGCAAAUAAUGAAGUUUUAACUGUAAAGGAUGCAGUACAUAAGCUUCAACUUUAUCUACUCGAAGGAAUAGAAAAUGAGAAACAACUAUUGGCAGCUGGUUCAUUGAUGUCACGAAGUGACUAUCAAGAUGCGGUGACUGAGCGCACAAUAGCCCAUACGUGUGGUUACCCGCUUUGCAGCAAUUCUUUACCUUCCGAGCAACCACGGAAGGGCCGCUACCGUAUCUCACUGAAGGAGCAUAAAGUCUAUGACCUUCAAGAAACAUAUAUGUAUUGCUCAGCCACCUGUUUGAUACAUAGUCGAGCCUUUUCUGCUAGUUUGCUAGAGGAGAGAUCAUCAACUCUGAACACUGCCAAAAUAAAAAAAGUUCUAAAUCUGUUUGAUGGUUUAGGUUUAGAAUCUGCUGUGAAUAUGGGAAAGGAUGGAGAUUUAGAAAUUUCAAAUCUGAAGAUUCACGAGAAAGCGGACACAAAAACUGCAGAAGUCUCUUUAGAUGAAUGGAUUGGCCCCUCAAAUGCUAUCGAUGGAUACGUACCAAAGAGAGAUCAGAAAUUGGAAUCUCAGAAAGAAAAUAGUUUCAAAAAAGAUGUAAAACAGAAACGAGUUGUACCUGAAGAUAGGUAUAAUCUGCCGAAUGUAGCAGACUUUCUGGGCAAUGACAUGGACUUCACUAGUACUAUCAUAACUCAAGAUGAGUAUAGCAUUUCAAAGGCAGUUGCCCCUACAAAGGCUAAAGAACCAAGGGGAAAAGCUAUCUGUAAAGAACCCAAUAGUCUUGGAAAAACAGAGCAAAAGCCAGCUGCUUCUUUGGUGAACGCUUGGGAUGCCAAAACCAAGAAGUUAAAUGAACAUAAGAACUUGCCUGCAGCAGAUAUCAAUGUAUUAGAAGAUGCAGCUUGUCUUAACCAAAGCGAUGCUACAAAGGAAGAGAAUCUCCAAUUGGGGAAGCCAUUUGCAGCUGGACCUAGCCAAAAUGGUGCUUCGGAGAAAGAACAUAAACGAUUAGUGGAGAAGCAACCUGCAGCUGGUCCUUCUCUCCUGAAAUCUUCUCUAAGGACGAAAGCUUCAAAAAAAGAAACCCGGUCUGUUACCUGGGCUGACAAUACAAGUAAUGGUGAUGGGCAAGGUGUUGGAAAAUUGAAUGAUGAUGAGAAAGGAGCUGCAGCCGAAUCUUAUUCUAUGAAUGAGGAAGUGAGUGAGGAAUCAUAUCGAUUAGCAUCUGCUGAAGCCUGUGCAAGAGCUCUAAGUGAGGCUGCGGAAGCUGUCUCAUCCGGAAAAUCUGAUGUAUCCGAUGCUGUGUCUGAAGCAGGUGUGACAAUAUUGCCACCUCCGCUUGGAUUGGAUGAAUCUAAAUCUGACAAAAGUGUGGAAAUUGUGGACACCGACCCUGUUACACUGAAGUGGCCUCCAAAACCAGGUACUUCAAAUGAUGAUCUAUUGGACUCUGAGGAUUCAUGGUAUGAUAGUCCCCCAGAUGGGUUCAAUUUAAAUCUGUCGCCUUUUUCUACAAUGUUUAUGGCAAUCUUUGCCUGGAUAUCAUCCUCCUCUUUAGCUUAUAUAUACGGAAAGGAGGAAAGUUUUCAUGAGGAUUACUUAUCUGUGAAUGGAAGGGAGUAUCCACGCAAGAUAGUAUUGUCCGAUGGCCGGUCCUCUGAAAUUAAGCAAACUCUAGCUGAUUGCCUUUCGAGAGCCUUGCCUGGACUUGUUGCAGAAAUCAGGCUUCCUAUUCCGAUAUCUAUCCUGGAGCAAGGAAUUGCACGCUUAUUAGAGACAAUGUCUUUCACUGAUUCUCUUCCUGGAUUCCGGAUGAAGCAGUGGCAAGUUCUAAUUCUGUUGUUUCUGGAUGCUCUUUGUGUCAGCAGAAUCCCUACACUUGCCCCAUAUUUGAUGGGCUCAAGGAUUCAUCUUCCCAGGUUUAUGUUCUGCUGUUGAAAUGACGAGGAGAAAUGGAUUUUGUACCGUUAACCGGAAUUAGCUUAAAGCACGGAAAAAGUAAAAAUUUCUUUAUUGCUUAUGGAGAAAGUUGCUUCCAUAAAUGGUACUCGAGGGAGCACAUAUCAGUACCGAAGAAUAUGAGCUAAUGAAGGAUUUGAUCAUCCCACUUGGUCGAGUGCCUCAAUUCUCAACUCAGAGUGGCGGCUAGGCUAAUCAUCCGGUGAUCUAUCCUUAUCACAGUUAUUAUGUUCAAUAGAUGUUAUAUCUUUUUUGCCCUCCUGUAGUUCAUAAUUCGACAAAAUUUUAAAUAUAUAGCCCCUAAUGUAUUCAAACGAAGAAAUUUCUUUAGACAAAAGUUAUGUGUGAGUUUUGAAGAGAUUUUAGGCCACAACAUUUCUUCCUAUGUCUCUCUAUCUCCUUACUUUCCAGUGAAAGAAUUUGUUGGGAUGAGUA